GGCGCUGUAGUGUAGUGGUUAUCACUCGAGGUUUUGAUUUCACGAUUUCUCGUAACCCAGGUUCGAGCCCUGGCAGUGCCU
This is a non-coding RNA of Infundibulicybe gibba, 81 nucleotides long. The record is from the annotation of a GenBank genome assembly. Lineage: Eukaryota; Fungi; Basidiomycota; Agaricomycetes; Agaricales; Omphalinaceae.